GACGAACGCUGGCGGCGUGCUUAACACAUGCAAGUCGAACGGAAAGGCCCUGCUUUUGUGGGGUGCUCGAGUGGCGAACGGGUGAGUAACACGUGAGUAACCUGCCCUUGACUUUGGGAUAACUUCAGGAAACUGGGGCUAAUACCGGAUAGGAGCUCCUGCUGCAUGGUGGGGGUUGGAAAGUUUCGGCGGUUGGGGAUGGACUCGCGGCUUAUCAGCUUGUUGGUGGGGUAGUGGCUUACCAAGGCUUUGACGGGUAGCCGGCCUGAGAGGGUGACCGGCCACAUUGGGACUGAGAUACGGCCCAGACUGCUACGGGAGGCAGCAGUGGGGAAUAUUGCACAAUGGGCGGAAGCGUGAUGCAGCAACGCCGCGUGCGGGAUGACGGCCUUCGGGUUGUAAACCGCUUUCGCCUGUGACGAAGCGUGAGUGACGGUAAUGGGUAAAGAAGCACCGGCUAACUACGUG
RNAcentral lists this ribosomal RNA (468 nucleotides) under uncultured bacterium. Its description in RNAcentral is "partial 16S ribosomal RNA". It matches the Rfam family "Bacterial small subunit ribosomal RNA", at positions 28 to 507 of the family's 1533-position model. The record is from RNAcentral.